AAAAAAAUAGCAGUUCUAAGACUGGUCAAGGGGCCCUUUGCAAUCUGUCUUCACAAACCAGACAACUAUAAAGUACAACAACGCUUAGGGUGCUAUUGCGUGAAUGGUUAAGAAGACCUCCAAUUUGGACAACUAUUUAAAUAAGAAUCCGCUGACCGCUGCUUUUGUUUCCGUACUGCGAUGUCUGGAAGAUAACUAUUAUGCCAACUUUAUAUGUGACACUUUAUCACGCGAACAGGUACCCAGGACUGUGUUCAUGUGAUCUAAGAAACUCUAUCAACCUGGAGUGCAUGCCAUGUGAUGAGGAGUUUAGAUCAGGAAGAACGGGUGGUUCAAUACGUAGUAGUGUUUUCAGUUAGUCAUUAAUGCGGUGUGCUACAAACUAAACCUGAGAUUUCUACAUCCAUAAUCUCGCCUUAGUCUCCAAACAGAAGUUGUAGAUAAUCUUUUACGCUUUCUGUAGCGUAUUUGUUUGCACACUUUGGUUGGGCGGUUUGUGAGAUGCAGUCAGUAAUUCAGUAUUGAUUUACUGACCAAAAAACGACAUUUCUGUGAGAAGUGAGCUUGUGAGCUACUUCAAGUCCUUUUAGACCCCAAAGUCCAAACAAUAAAUUUAUAGAUUCAACACAAAAGUUGUGGGGUAGGUUUUCUACUUGCUAAAGCACGUAUUUUUGCUAGAUUACAUGUUAAAUUUUAAUUCAUGUUGGAUAGAACUGAAAGCAUGCUCUCUUAAAUAAUUUUAUGUUAUGUUUUGUAGGAUUGAGUUUGAAUAUUUGGCUGGGUUGUUGUGAUCCAGAACUAUUGGAUACAAUACAUUGCAGGCAGAAGUAAGCAAUAUAAAUCAAACAGAGUCCCGCGAGAACGAAAAUGGAUCCAGACGCUUACCUGUUGAUUGUGUUGCUGUAUCAACUUUGUGAGAUUAUCUAUAGAAAUACUGCAAGAUAUCUAUAUGAGUUCUAUCUCAUGUUCUGAGCAAUCGUGAGAUUAAUCCGUCCAGACUCUCUGUAAGGUCCAUGCCUUCUUUCUUGUCCUGCAAUAACAUGUUGGGUAAACAAUACUUAUCUUAGGUUAUAUAGGUUGAUAUUUAUGGUGUGUUAUUGUAUAAAUUGUUUGUCUAUGAAGACCACCGAUUUGGACAAUGUUUAGAUGACCACCAGUACUUUUGUUUAUGUCUUAAUAUAUGGAGGAUAAAUCUGUUAUGCAAGACUAUAUAUACACUGUUGAUUGCACUAGAACUCAAUGCUAUGCUACUUUUUUUUUCAUGGAAACAUCACUAUUUGAGAUAAUAGCUGACUAACCGGGUGCUCAACCUUAGCGGUUAACUUUUCAAAAACAAUGUGGUUUUAUUUUCUAAAUAUCUCUACUAUAGAUGUUGUUUGAUCUCCUUCCAACAUAUCCCAAGAAUAAGUUUUGUUCGGUACCUUCCAUUGUCUUCAUUAUUUUGAGCCUCUCUUUUUUGGAGGCUAUUCAAAUUAAUGCCUUAGUUCUCUUACAUUUCAUUGAACUGCAUCCAUUAACACUGCCAUAUUUUCUAGGAUUCUUGAACUUAGGUAUGAUAAUGAGGUGUUGGAUGUCUAUCUAAAUAGUAGUUUCAUUUUGAAUUAUCUUAAUUAGACCAACAGUAGUUUAUCAUAUACAUGCUUUGGAGUUUGGAUGCCUGUUCAGGACCAGCAAGCACCUGGGUUGGUUGGCUGGCAAGUGCUAUUUUAUCUACUCAUUACAUAGGUGACUUCCACAACAGUGACAACUGAUGCUGCCGCCGCCUUCGUCAUCAUGUCAUGAUAGUAAUCAUCAAUCAUGUUCUUCGGCUCAGUGUACCCAUCAAGAUUCUACUCUUUAGAAUCUGGCUUCAGAAAGGAUGAUUGAUUCCUCACGUACUAUAGUCAAGAACCUGACCAAAUAUCAGGGAAGUGUGUUGGAUGAUGAAUUCAUGUAUAUGUGUGGUUUGCCUUGCAACCUAUGAUCUUGUGCUGAAAAUGAGAAUCAUCGUGUCAAGCAUUUUUCCUCCACCAAUAGUUGCUGUAAUAUAUUCUCUCUAGCUUCCAUGGACGUUUCUCUGGUUGUAUAUAAAUGUUUCUAAAAAAAAUGUUUGUUACUUCAUUUAUAA
Long non-coding RNA from Lolium perenne, 2107 nucleotides. RefSeq lists it as uncharacterized. NCBI's taxonomy places the organism in Eukaryota, Viridiplantae, Streptophyta, Magnoliopsida, Poales, Poaceae. The record is from RefSeq and is a predicted model, not a curated record.